AGUGAACGCUGGCGGUAGGCCUAACACAUGCAAGUCGAACGGCAGCACAGUAAGAGCUUGCUCUUACGGGUGGCGAGUGGCGGACGGGUGAGGAAUACAUCGGAAUCUACUUUUUCGUGGGGGAUAACGUAGGGAAACUUACGCUAAUACCGCAUACGACCUACGGGUGAAAGCAGGGGAUCUUCGGACCUUGCGCGAUUGAAUGAGCCGAUGUCGGAUUAGCUAGUUGGCGGGGUAAAGGCCCACCAAGGCGACGAUCCGUAGCUGGUCUGAGAGGAUGAUCAGCCACACUGGAAGUGAGACACGGUCCAGACUCCUACGGGAGGCAGCAGUGGGGAAUAUUGGACAAGGGGCGCAAGCCUGAUCCAGCCAUACCGCGUGGGUGAAGAAGGCCUUCGGGUUGUAAAGCCCUUUUGUUGGGAAAGAAAAGCAGCAGGUUAAUACCCCGCUGUUCUGACGGUACCCAAAGAAUAAGCACCGGCUAACUUCGUG
Molecule: ribosomal RNA, 492 nt
Filed under: uncultured bacterium
Lineage: Bacteria
Description: partial 16S ribosomal RNA
Rfam family: Bacterial small subunit ribosomal RNA
Source: RNAcentral